CAGCAAGCAAUUAUUUCCUCGGAAGUUGGAGGGCCUGUAAAAAAAUUAUUCGCGUUUGUGUGAAGGUUCUGUUGGCGAUUUUUGUUGAGUUUUGGGUAUAAUACCCGGUCAAAAUGCUUGUGGAUACUCUUUAUUAAAGUGAUUAAGUCCCAUGCUUCAGUUUUGUCAUUGAAUUCAAGAGUUGCACUGUAGUUUUCACACUUUGCUUGUAGGUGUUAUAUUUCGUCAUUAGUGUAUUAAAUUCAUCUGCUCGGUAAGCUAGCUCGGCCCAGUCUGGCCGGCCCCGCCCCAGCCAUGAACGGUCUCAGUCUGACCGAGCUGUGCUGCCUGUUCUGCUGUCCACCAUGCCCGUCACGGAUCGCCGGGAAGCUGGCGUUCCUGCCGCCCGAGGCCACAUACAGUCUGAUGGCCGACGAGACGGGCGACAAGCACAACAUCAUCCUCACAGAGCGAGCCGACUGGCUCUACACCGACAAGGAGAAGGAGGCCAUGGAGGCGUUCUACACGCGCACCAGCAAGGGCAACCGCAUCGCCUGCAUGUACAUCAAGUGCUGCCCCAACGCCAAGUACACGGUGCUGUUCUCACACGGGAACGCCGUGGACCUGGGCCAGAUGAGCAGUUUCUACCUUGGGCUGGGCUCACGCAUCAACUGUAACGUGUUCAGCUACGACUACUCGGGCUACGGUGACGGCACCGGCCGUCCGUCCGAGAAGAACCUGUACGCCGACAUCGAGGCGGCGUGGCUGGCGCUGCACAGUCGGUACGGCGUGCCGCCCGAGUCGGUGAUCCUCUACGGUCAGAGCAUCGGCACCGUGCCCACCGUCGACCUGGCGUCGCGACACGAGUUCGGCGGCGUGGUGCUCCACUCACCGCUCAUGUCCGGCAUGCGCGUGGCGUUCAAGACGCAGCGCACCUGGUUCUUCGACGCCUUCCCCAAUAUCGACAAGGCGCCGAAGAUCAAGUCUCCAGUGCUGGUGAUUCACGGUACGGAAGACGAGGUGAUCGACUUUUCACACGGCCUGGCCAUCCACGCCAAGUGUCCGCGCGCCGUCGAGCCGCUCUGGGUCGAGGGGGCCGGCCACAAUGAUAUCGAGGUACACGGCCAGUACCUGGAGCGGCUGAAGAAGUUUGUGUCCGACGACCUGCCCAACUGACGCUCAGUGCCGGCGCACGUCGGCCGGCAACCAGUGCCGCCCGGUGCGCCGGAACAGCCGCCGACAGAGCUCUCGGCCGCCGAGCGGCCGGCAGCGCUGGCCGCCGCCGCCGCCUCACUCUGUGACCUCCGCCUGGGCAGUCCCAGCGACGGCGGCUGGAUGGGCGAGAAGCUGCUCUGAGCGGCCGGCCGGCCUCAAGACUUGCACCAGUACAAUCGCGCGCCGAGCGAGCCGGACGUCCGACACGGCCGACCGGCCUCGGCUCCUCUGCACACGCGUGUUAUCACUUUCCAUUGGCUGUAUACGGGGUGCCAGGGCGACCCGGGACGCCGCCGGCCGGGACACAGCUGAUCUCAGCCGAGGGCCCGCCGCCGCGGCCGGCCGCCGGGCCGCGCUGGUGGCGGGCCGGCCGGACGCCGUGUGACUGUGAGCCGAGCAGCGCGAGUGUGUGUGAGAGAGAGAAAGAUCAGUGAGAUAGCCCUAUCGAAUCUGGUCACCGAUCAUCGUAUUUUGAAACUGUGUCUUUAUACCUCGUAGAACCAGUCUGUUGUGUACUCUAAGUUAGCGCGGUGCGUCGUUUGGACCUUGUUUUGCCUUGGCCCCCGGUGGGCUGUCACCGCCGGGUGCCCGCCGGUCCCGGGCGCUCUCCUAAUUGCCUUGAGGUCUGUGUAAGUAUACGCGGCGUGCUUCUUGUUCGAGCCGGGACCCGGGGCUGGUCUGUACAAUGUUCAGUGCAAGCAACGGGCCGGCGCACCCAAGUGUUCCGGCGCUGAUCCUGAAUCAUUGUGACUUUUUCAUUGGCCAAGAAUUCCGAAAUUGCCGGCCAACUUUUCUUUUUCAUCCCACUUUGAUUGCAUGGUUUGCCGCCCACCUGCUCGUCAAAGCCCGAAUAUCCACUGACCGAUUUGCCUGAAUGCAUACAAUACAAUCGUAACUGUC
This 2094-nucleotide unclassified non-coding RNA is filed under the name Amphibalanus amphitrite. Its description in RNAcentral is "alpha/beta hydrolase domain-containing protein 17B- like, transcript variant X2". The record is from RNAcentral. Lineage: Eukaryota; Metazoa; Arthropoda; Thecostraca; Balanomorpha; Balanidae.